This 407-nucleotide ribosomal RNA is filed under the name uncultured bacterium. RNAcentral describes it as "partial 16S ribosomal RNA". It matches the Rfam family "Bacterial small subunit ribosomal RNA", at positions 28 to 526 of the family's 1533-position model. The record is from RNAcentral.
GACGAACGCUGGCGGCGUGCCUAAUACAUGCAAGUAGGACGCAGUUGCGAACGGGUGAGUAACGCGUAGGUAACUACCUAUUAGAGGGGGAUAACUAUUGGAAACGAUAGCUAAUACCGCAUACUCGUAGAUGGACCUGCGUUGUAUUAGCUAGUAGGUAGGGUAAUGGCCUAACUAGGCAACGAUACAUAUCCGACCUGAGAGGGGGAUCGGGCACCCCGGGACUUGGAACCCGCCCAGACUCCUACGGGAGGCAGCAGGAGGGAAACUUCGGGAAUGGGGGGAACCCUGACCGAGCAACGCCGCGGGAGUGAAGAAGGUUUUCGGAUCGGAAAGCUCUGUUUUUUAGGAAGCGGUACUUAACCAGAAAGGGACGGCUAACUACGUGCCAGCAGCCGCGGUAAUUC